GCAUUGUAAGUGUAAUAGAUAUCUGUUCACUUUAGGAUCCUGUUUCGUCUGUACUGGUAUCUAACUAAGGUUUUGUACUCUUCUGCUUAUGUUUCUAUGAAAGUGUAUUCUAAUGGACCCUUCUACUUGUCAUUUAACAUAAUGUUAAUGACUCUCUAUUUGUUGCAGGUGUAUUGGUUUACAUUUAUUGUGAGGCUCUUGAUAAAACUGAUUAUUAAAGGAGGGGAAGUUGAAGACACUAGAGAGUUCAGUGAAAAUGAAUCUAAAAAGAAGAAUUAGUUCUCUAUUACUGCAAUGUUGUCAGUGGUUUUUCAUCUUCCAUUUUCAUGCAUAUCAGUUGUUGGCAUAAUAAAA
Molecule: long non-coding RNA, 354 nt
Organism: Amphimedon queenslandica
Lineage: Eukaryota; Metazoa; Porifera; Demospongiae; Haplosclerida; Niphatidae
Exons: 2
Source: RefSeq, a predicted model, not a curated record